RNAcentral lists this small RNA (80 nucleotides) under Flavobacterium limicola. Its description in RNAcentral is "Flavo-1 RNA". It matches the Rfam family "Flavo-1 RNA". The record is from RNAcentral. Lineage: Bacteria; Pseudomonadati; Bacteroidota; Flavobacteriia; Flavobacteriales; Flavobacteriaceae.
UUUUAGCCCCGAUAGCAGUGGAAAUCCUUUUAUUUUUUUCUUUAAAAAAUAAAAGAUUGCAACGUAUAGCGGGAUUAGCU